This 1692-nucleotide long non-coding RNA is filed under the name Marmota monax (woodchuck). The record is from RNAcentral. Lineage: Eukaryota; Metazoa; Chordata; Mammalia; Rodentia; Sciuridae.
AUAGUUGUUAUAUGUUUAGAGAAUAAUGACAGAAAUAAUGUCUGCACAUUUCAACAGACACAAUUUUUAAAAAUAUUUUUGAUCUGUGGUUGGUUGUACAAAUGCAUGUAGGACCUACAGAUAUGGAGGGCAAAGGCUGCAUGCAGAGAGACUAAGUAGCAAGAGUGCAGUAAGUAUAGUAGAAUCAAACAGAAGAGGUAGAGGUAAAGGAGAGGCAGAUUUGUAUAGGGUUUUGCAGUUAUUGUAAGCACUUAGACUUAUGCUUUUACUCUGAUCAAGAUGGGCAUUAUCAUUGGAAGACUCGGCAAAAGAGUGAUGAGGUGACUGAUCCUUUAAAGGCUCACUCAGUUGCUGAGUUGAGAAGGGUAGACUGUGGAACAAGAGCAGUAACAGAGAGGCCAGACUGGGCUGGAUUACUAAAAUUUUACACUAAGUAUGUAUAUAAAAGAUGAAAUAAAUACAUCAAAAUACUAAUAAGGACUGAACUUAGGCUAUCCUAGUUAUCUAUGAGUGGUCUUAUUUAUACUUUUCUGUUUUCCAGAAUUAGUCUUUUUGAUUAGAGGGAUGAACUUGAAUAUAUUAAGUACAGUAUUAUAGGUACUGUUACUAAAUUUGAAACACUUGCCUUCAAUAAGACUUAAUGUUCAUAAUCUGUCUACAGGAGUACAGUGAAACAUCAGCAAUUUUGAAUAAAUGAUCUAAAUAAAUAAGGGAGAAGUGAGAAUUAGAGAACAAACAUUUUAUACAUAGUUCAGUUAUUUUAAAUUUCAUAUAAUGGAAUUAAAAUAGAAUAUAUUAAUGGUAGAGGUCCUAUUUUAAAGAAGAUGCAAAUGAUUAUGAUAAUAUGACAGCCUUACUACUUACCCUGGUUUACUCUUGCAGUAGAAUUUUAUAAAUUACUAUUUUUUAGGUGAUUGCAUUUAGAUAGUGGUUUUAAUAGACCACUUCUAAUUGAAUUUAUUCCUUCCUUUCUUUACCUGUUGUCUUUUUACCUGGUCUACUCUCUCCCAACCCUAGCUCCUUCUUCUAAUCUUUCAGAGUUCAGCUCAUUUCGCUACAAAAGGGACCUUUCCUGAGUCUGUUAAAUCCUAUCACUCUCAUCCCCUCAGUUCUAAUUCUUGUUACUAUUACAUUGCAGUUGUAAUGAAAUAGUUAUUUGUAUAAUUGUGUGGUUUCCUUUGUUAGAAUAUUAGCACCAUAAAGAUGGGUUUGUAUUUCUCCUACUUAUAGAUGUUUCCUCAUUGAAUAAUGAAUACAUAUGGCAACAGAUAAAUAAACUUACUGUCAUGCUUCUUUUAGAGUUUAGUUGAGGGUCUGGUGCAGUUUUUCUAAUAUUCCUCCUCCCACAGUCUACCCCCUCAUGUAGUUUUUUGUUAUAAGUAAAUGUGUUUAAAUUUUUAAAUCAAAACAACAAAUUUAGUAUUUUUGCUUAAUGUUCAGUGCUUUUAAUAAAAAUAUAUUGAAUUUCUUUAUGAUUUCUCAUUGGGAAUGAAAAAGAAAAAAAAAUCAACUCUGGUAGCACUGCUACACUUUUAAAACUUUUUUAACCUCUGGACUUGUCAGAUUAGUAUAGCCUGACUUUUGUGGAAAACAAAGUAAGGAAAGUCUGGUAUAUUGAUAGUUACAACAUUUAACUGUGAUCCUAAAGGCUUAUUCUGGAAGAGUACAGUUUCUUUCUAGAAGACCAUUUCC